RNAcentral lists this ribosomal RNA (498 nucleotides) under uncultured bacterium. RNAcentral's name for it is "bacterial SSU rRNA". It matches the Rfam family "Bacterial small subunit ribosomal RNA", at positions 8 to 507 of the family's 1533-position model. The record is from RNAcentral.
AGAGUUUGAUCAUGGCUCAGGAUGAACGCUAGCGGGAGGCCUAACACAUGCAAGCCGAGCGGUAGAGAUUCUUCGGAAUCUUGAGAGCGGCGUACGGGUGCGGAACACGUGUGCAACCUACCUUUAUCUGGAGGAUAGCCUUUUCGAAAGGAAGAUUAAUACUCCAUAAUAUAUUGAUUGGCAUCAAUUGAUAUUGAAAGCUCCGGCGGAUAGAGAUGGGCACGCGCAAGAUUAGUUAGUUGGUGAGGUAACGGCUCACCAAGACGAUGAUCUUUAAGGGGCCUGAGAGGGUGAUCCCCACACUGGUACUGAGACACGGACCAGACUCCUACGGGAGGCAGCAGUGAGGAAUAUUGGUCAAUGGGUGCAAGCCUGAACCAGCCAUCCCGCGUGAAGGACGACUGCCCUAUGGGUUGUAAACUUCUUUGUAUAGGGAUAAACCUACCCUCGUGAGGGUAGCUGAAGGUACUAUACGAAUAAGCACCGGCUAACUCCGUG